Long non-coding RNA from Oncorhynchus tshawytscha (Chinook salmon), 673 nucleotides. The record is from Ensembl. NCBI's taxonomy places the organism in Eukaryota, Metazoa, Chordata, Actinopteri, Salmoniformes, Salmonidae.
AGGGAAGAGGGUGAGGAGGUGGAAGAGGGUGAGGGAGGGAAGAGAGUGAGCUUGAAUUGGUUGAAGAUGGCAAAAACCAAUUGGAGAUGGUUUGUUAAAGAAGAAUGGUAGAAAGCAUAAGCAGAGUGAGCCGUAAGCCGGAUCGAAGACAGGUGGAGAAAUGGAAGGGAAUUAGUGCGAAUUAUAGGAGGUGGCCGGUGUGGUGAACUUCUCGGAGCCCGAGGCUUGAUGGUCAGGAUAAAGAUGAGUCUGUGAUGGUAGGAGUGAUAUAAUGAUGGUCAGGGUAAAGAUGAGUCUGUGAUGGUAGGAGUGAUAUAAUGAUGGUCAGGAUAAAGAUGAGUCUGUGAUGGUAGGAGUGAUAUAAUGAUGGUCAGGGUAAAGAUGAGUCUGUGAUGGUAGGAGUGAUAUAAUGAUGGUCAGGGUAAAGAUGAGUCUGUGAUGGUAGGAGUGAUAUAAUGAUGGUCAGGGUAAUGAUGAGUCUGUGGUGGUAGGAGUGAUAUAAUGAUGGUCAGGGUAAAGAUGAGUCUGUGAUGGUAGGAGUGAUAUAACGAUGGUCAGGAUAAAGAUGAGUCUGUGAUGGUAGGAGUGAUAUAAUGAUGGUCAGGAUAAAGAUGAGUCUGUGAUGGUAGGAGUGAAAUGUUUGAAGAAAGUGGACCCCUGUCUUUUGGCUGAU